RNAcentral lists this ribosomal RNA (416 nucleotides) under uncultured bacterium. RNAcentral's name for it is "partial 16S ribosomal RNA". It matches the Rfam family "Bacterial small subunit ribosomal RNA", at positions 359 to 774 of the family's 1533-position model. The record is from RNAcentral.
AGAGUGGUCAAUGGAGGCAACUCUGAACCAGCCAAGUCGCGUGAAGGAUGACUGCCCUACGGGUGGUAAACUUCUUUCUUAAGGGAAUAAAGUGAGCCACGUGUGGCUUUUUGCAUGUACCGUACGAAUAAGGAUCGGCUAACUCCGUGCCAGCAGACGCGGUAAUACGGAGGAUCCGAGCGUUCUCCGGAUUUAUUGGGUUGAGAGGGUGCGCAGGCGAAAUAUUAAGUCGACGGUGAAAGUUUGCAGCUUAACUGUAAAAUUGCCGUUGAAACUGGUUUUCUUGAGUGUAUGUGAAGUAGGCGGAAUUUGUAGUGUAGCGGUGAAAUGCAUAGAUAUUACAAGGAACACAGAUUGCGAAGGCAGCUUACUAAAAUACAACUGACGCUCAGGCACGAAGGCGUGGGUACCAAACA